Molecule: unclassified non-coding RNA, 1007 nt
Filed under: Hevea brasiliensis (rubber tree)
Lineage: Eukaryota; Viridiplantae; Streptophyta; Magnoliopsida; Malpighiales; Euphorbiaceae
Source: RNAcentral
CUAAGCCCCAUCACAAAAGCAAAAAACACCAGAAUGCCAAAUGAAUCAUAUCUUUAAAUAACCAAAAGAUCCCAGCCCUAUAAUACAAAUCACAAACCCAACUCACAAAGUCCAAGACUGAACAAGCAGCCUAAAGCCUAAGACUAAAGCCGUAAACUGAAACCAGGUCCUAUACCUAAGGAAGACCUAACCUGGCAAACCAUGGGUUGCAGAAGCCACCACUAAGAAGCUAGAUGAGGCACCACAGGGGAUCUCCACCAUUUAAAAGCCAUACGUAAUGAAGACGGCAGCAGCUACCGAGCAAAGAUCCUACAAAGUCUUUGCAAAGCUGGGUCUAAGAAGCGUUACAUCAAGAAAACCAGGGAGCUAAAGACCUUAUUGUAGGCCAAGAAAGUAAAACGCAACUCGGAGAUCAUUAAGGGCAAUAGGGUAAAGCUCCAUGGCAAAACAAGCCAAGGGUCACCUUCAAGGUUAAGGCACUGCACGACCCCAGAGGCACCGCCAUUUAGAAGAUUAACACUUUCAAAGAGAAAUCCACUGAAAUUGGCCCGAAGAAAGGAAGAAUUGUACAUCCAACAUCUCCCUAGAAAUACCACACGCCAACGAGCUCCAACUAUCUACAACCAUAGAAGCAGAAGAUCAAAACAAAAAAUAGCAAACGGGAAAGAUAGAUUACAGAGGAAUACUCUCGCCUUGAAGCUCAAUCUAUCCUCAACCACACACCAAAUAUCUACACCCAACCAAUGGUGGGGAGAGUAAUCCACAAUCAGGUAGUGGAACUUGCUGAAACGGCAGAGGAAACAUCUUAGGCGUUAACAACUAAAAAAACCAAGAUGAGAGAGUUACUCUGUCCCAAAAAGCUUAGAGAGCUCUUCUCGGCAAUGAAAUAAGGGAUUGCAACAAUAUACAUUUGAUGUAGGUGACAUUAAAUUACAAGAUGGAUAAUUGAUAUAUUCCUUUUGCCCAUUUCAUAUUGACUAAAAAAUUGAGCAUUUUGAUGUGAUCGG